CUACCAUAUGUUGUAGUCAAUAGUUCAAAAGGGGAUUUUGUAACAGCAAUCCACUUCAGAUCUGUAGAUUCACACCUAUAAAGAUGGAUUGCAUCAGGAGCCUCAAAGACCCCAGAGAGUCUCAUUGCAGGUGAUUUUAGAGAGUUGCCCUAACAGGAUGGAGGCCAGAAUGGAGGAGAUCACACAAGCUGCAGGAUAGAAGGUGCCUUUCAGCAUUGCUGCAGAUGCCUGCAUCCCACCCCACACCAUCCUCCCGCAGGACAGCCAAGCAGAGACUGGUUCUCUCACACAUACAAACUGAGACAGAAUUUUGGCAUAAAUAAGCACAGAUCCCCAGACCCUAGAUGCCUAAUGCUGCUGUGGAUUAUCAUUUCUUUCUCUUAUGUUUGGG
Molecule: long non-coding RNA, 391 nt
Organism: Gallus gallus (chicken)
Lineage: Eukaryota; Metazoa; Chordata; Aves; Galliformes; Phasianidae
Source: Ensembl